This 519-nucleotide ribosomal RNA is filed under the name uncultured eukaryote. RNAcentral's name for it is "SSU rRNA". It matches the Rfam family "Eukaryotic small subunit ribosomal RNA", at positions 1161 to 1700 of the family's 1831-position model. The record is from RNAcentral.
AGGGCACCACCAGGAGUGGAGCCUGCGGCUUAAUUUGACUCAACACGGGAAAACUCACCCGGCCCGGACACCGUAAGGAUUGACAGACUGAGAGCUCUUUCUUAAUUCGGUGGGUGGUGGUGCAUGGCCGUUCUUAGUUGGUGGAGCGAUUUGUCUGGUUAAUUCCGAUAACGAACGAGACCCUGGCCUAUUAAAUAGACGGUAUAUCUAGAAAAAGUAUACCGCGCUUCUUAGAGGGACGACCGGCGUCUAGCCGCGUGAAAUAGAGCAAUAACAGGUCUGUGAUGCCCUUAGAUGUCCGGGGCUGCACGCGCGCUACACUGAAAGAAUCAGUAUGCGCCGUCGCCUAGUUCGGAAGAACCGGGUAACCCGAGCAAAUUCUUUCGUGCUUGGGAUAGGGAAUUGCAAUUAUUUCCCUUAAACGAGGAAUUCCCAGUAAAUGCGGGUCAUAAGCUCGCGUUGAUUACGUCCCUGCCCUUUGUACACACCGCCCGUCGCUACUACCGAUUGGAUGACUUA